ACGGCAGCAGCACAUCAUUAAAAAUAAAUCCUAUGUGCACAAUUCUCACCAAGACGUUGAACGCCAGUUGAAUGGACCUACCAGAAUAUUUAGCGAACAGAAAGAAAAGCAAAGUUCGCCUGAUUCUCCUGAAGCAGAGCGGGGAAGUGAGAUCCGAUCACGUGGUCACUCAAGACGCAUGUGGAGACACAAUCUGACGCCAGAUGUGAACUGACGAACUAUCCAGAUGCACAUUAAUGGCAGGUGUAAACACGGCUCUAGAUUUCAUCAUACCUGGCCUCUCUCUACGGAGCGCACUUCCUCUGGGUGCUUCUGUUUCCCAUCACAGUCCAAACACAUGCACGUCAGGUGGAUGGGAGACUCUGAAUUACCCAGAGGUGUGAAAGUGAGUGAGGAUGUGUGUGUCUGUCUACGUGAGACAAACUCAGAGACUGCUUCUCUCCCGAUGCAUGCAAGGACAGGCUCUGGUCUCUCACGAUCAUGAACAAGAUAAGAGGUAAAGAAAUGGACGCACCUAAAUGUGAAAUCUCACACGCAGUAUGAAUGACUAAUAGAAAACACAUAAAUGGAAAGAUACAGUGUGGUUGUCGUAUUUUAAUGAUAUUGCAAUUUUCUGGUAAAAAAAUAAUUGUUUUAAAGGAAAAUGUUGUAGUUAAUAUGAAGUAAUCUUCUGAUAUUUUCCAGAGAAACUUGAACUUACACAGAUUUUAACUGUGAUAAUAGAUUAUAGACAUGCUAGCAAGUGUUUGUACGACAAUGAUGGCUGUCUGAAGCUCGAUCAUUCAACUGUUAAAAAACACAAAUAAACACGCACACACAAA
Morone saxatilis (striped sea-bass) is the source of this 821-nucleotide long non-coding RNA. RefSeq lists it as uncharacterized. The transcript has 2 exons. NCBI's taxonomy places the organism in Eukaryota, Metazoa, Chordata, Actinopteri, Moronidae. The record is from RefSeq and is a predicted model, not a curated record.